RNAcentral lists this non-coding RNA (102 nucleotides) under Aurantiochytrium limacinum. The record is from RNAcentral. Lineage: Eukaryota; Bigyra; Thraustochytrida; Thraustochytriidae.
CUCAACACAAUAGAAAGCAGUCCGAGACAACAAAGGAAAAAGGUGUUUCCCUUUUGCUUUCUCUUUCUGUUUUUCUCUGUUUUUCUUUCCCCUUUUACUUUG